RNAcentral lists this long non-coding RNA (390 nucleotides) under Salmo salar (Atlantic salmon). Its description in RNAcentral is "lncRNA (ENSSSAG00000084603.1)". Lineage: Eukaryota; Metazoa; Chordata; Actinopteri; Salmoniformes; Salmonidae. The record is from RNAcentral.
UCAUCCUCUGACCUCUCACCAACGAUCCCUCACUGCCCAGGUCCACCGUUAUCCUCUGACCCCUCACCAACGAGCCCUCAUUGCCCAUGUCCACCGUCAUCCUCUGACCCCCUCACCAACGAUCCCUCACUGCCCAGGUCCACCGUUAUCCUCUGACCCUCUCACCAACGAUCCCUCACUGCCCAGGUCCACCGUCAUCCUCUGACCCCUUACCAACGAUCCCUCACUGCCCAGGUCCACCGUCAUCCUCUGACCCUCUCACCAACGAGCCCUCACUGCCCAGGUCCACCGUCAUCCUCUGACCCCUCACCAACGAUCCCUCACUGCCCAGGUCCACCGUCAUCCUCUGACCCUCUCACCAACGAUCCCUCACUGCCCAGGUCCACCGUC